RNAcentral lists this long non-coding RNA (2170 nucleotides) under Trifolium pratense (red clover). Its description in RNAcentral is "long non-coding RNA (TPRA_LNC003771)". Lineage: Eukaryota; Viridiplantae; Streptophyta; Magnoliopsida; Fabales; Fabaceae. The record is from RNAcentral.
ACAGGCACUCAUAACAAAUUCUUGUUGGACAAAAUGCCAAAAACUUUACUUCUUCUGGGCAAUAUUUUGAAUUGUUUUUCCCUCCUAUUUUGUUCUGCGAUUUUGGGCCAAAUACAUUGAGUCCAACACAAUAUGGCCCAGCAAAGCCCAGUCCUUGAAAGAAGAAAAGCUUCGGCCAAACAAAAAAAACAAAGAAGCAGAAGAACUGUCCCUUUCACGGCAGAUUUGCAAGCUAGAAUACAAAAACUUCAAUUAGGUUGAAAUCAAUUUCAAAUUUCAAAUUCUCCCUCUCUUCAAUAUCAUAACUCACUUUCUUUCUCAUGAAUUUCAAUUCUUCUCUCAUCAGCUCUCUCUCAUCCUCUCUGAUAUCUUCACCACCACCAACACCUUCGCUGCCGUCAUUUUCUUUCUCAUUGAUUUCAUUAAGUUCUCUUCUCAUGAAGCAGAGAACACGACUGCAACGAAGGUAUGCACUUCAGAUCCAUUUUUCGUUUUUUGAUUUACAGAUUCAUAUUUAUUUUUGAAUUCCAGAUCUAUUCUAUUUUUGUUCUUCAAUUUACGUUGAUGAUGCUUCUCCAUUCCUCACAUCGUGUUUUUUUUUUCUUCUUCUUCAUGUACAAUCAGAGAUUGCUGCUUGAGAAAAAAGGUAUGUCAUUUAACCGUAUUAUAUGAAUUUGGGGGAGCUGUUCUCUCCNNNNNNNNNNNNNNNNNNNGUAAUUUUCUAUUUUUGUUCCUGCCUUGGAUUUCAUGAUUUUUUAUUACGUUUUUUUUUUUGCUUUGAAUUUCAUGACUAAUUAAAUGUGCCCUUUCAUUAAGGUAUGUAAAUACAUGGGGUUUCUGCAAUUUUCACGGCCGGAGAAGUAUCCAAAUGAAGCAGGUAUGUUUUUUAAUUUUCUAAAUUAUUGUUUAAAUAUUUUGCUAUAAUAAUUGUUUUUCUAAUUCCUUUGAUUCAAUGUUUACUUUAAUUGGUGUUCCUAAUUCCAUUUAUUUAUUUUUAUGUUUGUGUGAUUUUUUGGAUGAUCAGAUUUAUGAUUGAAUAAAAAUGGACCAAAGUGUUUCAGAAUUCAAUUACCAUAUUGUUGUUCAUGAAUUUGAGGAAAAAGGUAUGUUUUCUUCUUUGAAAUGCCUAUUUUUCUUCAAUACUGUUUCUUAUAUCCGAUUUUAUGAUCCUUUUUCUAUUUCUUUGAAAAUAUUGUUGCUUAGUUGUCAUAUUUAUUGGGAUUUGUUUCUAUCAUUUAGUUAAUAAUCCCUACUUUUUAGGAGUUAGUGGCGUUUAGAUGGUUUUCUCCAAUGAUUGAUUUGUUUUUGUUAAAUUUCAGAUUUUUUUUAGAUUUGUAUCAAUUUUAAUUAGUUUUAUUUGUUAUUUGUAAACUUUAAUCCAGGAGAAAACCAAACUGAUAUAACCCAGUCCGUUUAUUGCAUUUGCUUGAGGCCAAACAAAAAAAAUCUCCUUGCUUCAGAAGCAGCUUGACCCUUCCCUUUCAUUUGUCUCUCUCAAGCCAAAUAUUGCAGGACUGAUGCUGCUGNNNNNNNNNNNNNNNNNNNNNNNNNNNNNNNNNNNNNNNNNNNNNNNNNNNNNNNNNNNNNNNNNNNNNNNNNNNNNNNNNNNNNNNNNCUUUCUUACUCAUCUCUCUCCAUUUUUUGUUGAUUCUUCGAACUUCUUCUCUCUCCAUGAAUCAACCUUCUUGGAUGGCACAAGCCAAAAUCUCCAAAGGUUUCAAAUUGCUUCUCCAUAUGUUAUUUUAUGAUUUAAUUUAAUCACAUGUUUAAUUUUUUGUCUAUGUUUGCAAAUUAGGUUUUCUUCUCCAUCGAAUCCUCCAACCUGUUUCAAGAUCCAUCCCGCAGGUAAUUUCAGUUUGGUUCUUUAGAGAUCCAAAAUAUUUUCACUUUCUUGCUUUUAUCCACCUGUCUGUAUGAAAUCAACUGUAAUAAUCUAUUUGCUCUUUGCAGGCCAAAAGAUUUGUAGACUAUUUGGCUACUUUGGUCCUCUAAAUGAAGUUUUCAUGCUUGUGAUUAUUAUAUUAGGUAAGCUUAUUUACUAUCUUAAAACACAACUUAUAUAUAGCUUCUAUGUGUUGUUUUAAUUUAAAGUUUUAAUUUUCCAGUUUGAUGUGUUACAUGUGAAGUUGUAUAGUGUUAUAUAGAAAUUGAUUGAUAUUUCUAAUUUCAA